AGAGUUUGAUCCUGGCUCAGAACGAACGCUGGCGGCGUGCCUAACACAUGCAAGUCGUACGAGAAAAUCCGCUUCGGCGGGUGAGUAGAGUGGCGCACGGGUGAGUAACGCGUGGAUAAUCUGCCUUUAAGCUGGGAAUAACUCACCGAAAGGUGGGCUAAUACCCGAUAAUGCUAUGGGACUUCGGUUUUAUAGCCAAAGAGAGCCUCUACAUGUAAGCCUUCACUUAAAGAUGAGUCCGCGUACCAUUAGCUAGUUGGUAGGGUAAUGGCCUACCAAGGCGACGAUGGUUAGCUGGUCUGAGAGGAUGAUCAGCCACACUGGAACUGAGACACGGUCCAGACUCCUACGGGAGGCAGCAGUGAGGAAUAUUGCGCAAUGGGGGCAACCCUGACGCAGCAACGCCGCGUGAGUGAGGAAGGUCUUCGGAUCGUAAAGCUCUGUCGGGUGGGAAGAAGUGUGCAUAGGUUAAUAGCUUGUGCACUUGACGGUACCGCCAAAGGAAGCACCGGCUAACUCCGUGCCAGCAGCCGCGGUAAUACGGGGGGUGCGAGCGUUGUUCGGAAUCAUUGGGCGUAAAGAGCGUGUAGGCGGCUAGGCAAGUCAGAUGUGAAAUCCCUGGGCUUAACCCAGGAAGUGCAUUUGAAACUGCUUAGCUUGAGUAAGGAAGAGGGAAGUGGAAUUCCUGGUGUAGCGGUGGAAUGCGCAGAUAUCCGGAGGAACACCAGUGGCGAAAGCGGCCUCCUGGACCAUUCCUGACACUCAGACGCGAAAGCUAGGGUAGCAAACGGGAUUAGAGACCCCGGUAGUCCUAGCCCUAAACGAUGUAGACUAGGCGUCGGUGGUUUAAACGCCAUCGGUGUCCAAGCUAACGCGAUAAGUCUACCGCCUGGGGACUACGGCCGCAAGGUUAAAACUCAAAGGAAUUGACGGGUCCCCGCACAAGCAGCGGAGCGUGUGGUUUAAUUCGUUGCUACACGAAGAACCUUACCUGGGUUUGACAUAGCAGUGGUAGGGAAGCGAAAGCAGACCGACCCUUCGGGGAGCUGUUACAGGUGUUGCAUGGCUGUCGUCAGCUCGUGUCGUGAGAUGUUCGGUUAAGUCCGCUAACGAGCGCAACCCUCGCUGUGUGUUACAAGU
This 1140-nucleotide ribosomal RNA is filed under the name uncultured bacterium. RNAcentral's name for it is "bacterial SSU rRNA". It matches the Rfam family "Bacterial small subunit ribosomal RNA", at positions 8 to 1122 of the family's 1533-position model. The record is from RNAcentral.